GAUCAUGGCUCAGGAUGAACGCUAGCUACAGGCUUAACACAUGCAAGUCGAGGGGAAACGACAUCGAAAGCUUGCUUUUGAUGGGCGUCGACCGGCGCACGGGUGAGUAACGCGUAUCCAACCUGCCUACCACUUGGGGAUAACCUUGCGAAAGUAAGACUAAUACCCAAUGACAUCCCACGAAGACAUCUGAAUGGGAUUAAAGAUUUAUCGGUGAUGGAUGGGGAUGCGUCUGAUUGG
This 240-nucleotide ribosomal RNA is filed under the name uncultured bacterium. RNAcentral describes it as "partial 16S ribosomal RNA". It matches the Rfam family "Bacterial small subunit ribosomal RNA", at positions 15 to 244 of the family's 1533-position model. The record is from RNAcentral.